Long non-coding RNA from Aedes albopictus (Asian tiger mosquito), 1177 nucleotides. RefSeq lists it as uncharacterized. The record is from RefSeq and is a predicted model, not a curated record. The transcript has 3 exons. NCBI's taxonomy places the organism in Eukaryota, Metazoa, Arthropoda, Insecta, Diptera, Culicidae.
UCGAAAUCACCGAUGAUGCACCAGACAACACCCAAAGCCGACCAUCUCGCCAGCCUCCCACUCCGCCAGCCAUUCUGCCAGCCGUGCCCACACCCCCACUCUGUACACAACCAAGCACCUCGAACCAGAUACAGCAACAACAACCGGAAUCACCCUGCCUCCAACCUACUGCAAGUUCCAUCGACGUCAAUGAGCACCAAACAUCAGCAGAUCCAAACCGCAGCAUCAAUGAUCCCUCCAGAAGCACCGAAACCAUAACAGAACAACCUGAAACAACAAAAAUCGAUAAAAUUUAUAGAGCCAUACCAUAUAUACCUGCACUUUCUCAGCGAAUUACUAAAAUUUUGGCUAGGGACUAUUCCAAUAUAGCAAUCGCAACAAAACAGACCCGUGUGAUCAAAAAUCUUCACACACAGGUAAAGCACCCGGUAAAUAAAGAUGAUAUUAGCAAUGUCAUCUACAAAAUACCGUGCAACAACUGCGAUAGUUGCUAUAUUGGAAUGACCACAAACACUUUAAGGAAACGAUUAGCAGGCCACCGAUCCAAUAUAAACAGAUUAGAAAAACUGACCAAUGACAACAAUACUAACACAGAAAUAGCCAAAACAUCACUGAUAGAAACAACAACAGCACUAAUACAGCAUUGUAUAGAGACAGAUCACAGAUUCAAUCUAGAACACACACAAAUAAUAGACCAUAGCUACAGACAGUCCACACUCCCAUUUUUAGAGAUGUGUCACAUCACCAACACUAACCAUACAAUCAAUAGACGUACCGAUAUAGACAGACUCAGUACAACAUACGCAGCAGUGUUGCACGACAUUAAAAGUAGGAAUGAGCGAAACGAAACCACUACGGGAGAUAGCAUAGAUGAGAGGGAAUCAAUUACUCCAAUAGGGCACAGUAACCAGUCCAUAAGUUGAGAUAAAGAAGGACUGAAAGACAGAAAGAUUGCGCCAUUGCCAGUUAAAGUUGUGCGGUGAGAAAAGUGGAAGAUUUUAAAGUCAUGUACCGUAUAUCAUCAAACCCGACAGUUACAGUUAGACCAAACAUUAGACAAAUAACGACACUAGUAUUUACCCCCUGAGGAAGACACCCACCAAGUGUCGAAACGUUGGGUUAAUAUAUAACGUCGUUGGUUUAAUAAAGACUGCGUAGCCGAAAAACUAUAAAAUAU